Acipenser ruthenus (sterlet) is the source of this 2588-nucleotide long non-coding RNA. RefSeq lists it as uncharacterized. Lineage: Eukaryota; Metazoa; Chordata; Actinopteri; Acipenseriformes; Acipenseridae. The record is from RefSeq and is a predicted model, not a curated record. The transcript has 3 exons.
GUAACAACAGCGUCGCAAUGGUUUCUGGGAAGCCAAUUCCCUUAAGGCUGCCGAUACGUACAAUAGAAGUCACAUUCGGCAAUAACACAGUAGUUGACUUGAUCUUAUUUGAAUUACUUUAAAAUAAAAAGUGUUUAGCAGCCAGGGGGAGCGCUAAAAAUGGAUGCGCCUCCAGAUUGUGGGGAGACUUGACCCAGCACCCCAUCACAUGACUCAUUGAAGUAGCACCACCAGACGUGACGAAUUCAACAGGGACAGAAGAGGCUUGCAGAUUUCAUUACGAAGAGAGUCUCUACCAGUGAAGUGGACUUCUUUGCCCCGAUACAAAGGCCAAAGCUGAACACAUUUGCCAGUCUCAACAAGACCAUGUCUUCCAAACAGAAGCAAAAAACAGAAACAAUAUUGACAUACAAAUAUUCAGCAAACUGACAGUGAUAGCACAAGCUUGAGAUGUUGAUGUCCAUUACCUCCUUAAGCAUGAGCUUUCCCCUGUUCCUUUGUCAGUGUUCAAUUUGGAUGGAUCUUUCAGCAAAACAAUCAAAAGUGCAACCAUGUCAUGGUUAGAACAAAACCAUAUUUUGCCAGAAAUACCAAACACAACAGAUCCAAGUCUACUAGUAGUCGACUUCAUGAUGAUCAUCCUCAUGGUUUGCACUGGCAGAAGUGAUUGUCGUACAUUUGGAAAUCUUUCUGAGAAACUGCUAGGAAUGAUUCUCAAAACUUGCAACCCAUUGCAGUGGUUGGUGACAGCUAUUCUCAUGACCAGUCAGUCAAAAGUGGAGAAAGAGCGAGACGUGGCAGAAUCCAAAUGCAGGAAAUAAGGAAGCCUUGAAGAGCUACUCCUCUGCCCAAACAGCGACAGAAAAUGUUUUCUAAUCCUGCUAACAAGGCUAACAUGGCAAAUUGUUUUGAUGAAUGAUUGGGUGGAGGUUGUCCAAGAAAGAUUGUCAGCUGGAAGAAAGUUGUUCUUGGCAGGGGGCUUCACAGACACACGAAAGGCAGUUGUGGUGGAACAUGGGCAGAUUAGCAGAGUACAAGAGCUCCAGUCAGACCACGAAGAGGCUGACUCAAGAAUGUUUCUACACAUCAGGCAUGCACUUAAAACACUGAAUGUAAAACGUGUUGUGCAGCAUUGACUUGGAUGUUGCUGCCAUGUGCCCAAGAUCUAUCUUUCUGCUAGAUAUUCAAGAGCUCUUCUUCAGGACUGGAGUUCCACAAAAGCACUACAUCCCAAUGCACACUGGUGCUCAAGAUCUUGGACUUGACAUCUCCCUUGUGUUGCCCUCAAUCAAUGCAUUGAGUGGCUGUGACUCCACAAGUGCAUUCAGUGGGAUAGGAAAAAGAAAGAGGAUGAAGACCCUGACUGCAAAUUGUGACCUACUGGAUGGCCUCAAGCAACUUGGUCAGUUUUCUGCAUCCAUCACUGGUGAUGCCAUGGGAUCAUCUCUACAACACAUGUCACUGGUAUAUGCCAACAGAAAAUGCUCAUCACUGGACAUGCUGAGAUACAAGCUUCUCUCGAAGAAAAGUGCUACCAGUGAAAAGCUGCCACCUACAAUGGAUGCAUUCUCAGAGCAUGUAAAGAGAGUAAACUAUCAAAGUUUCAUAUGGUUGCAUGCUACAGAACAGUUUUUGAAUCUCCCAUCACCAGUUGGCAAUGGAUGGCAAGUUGAUGAUGGUGGAGAGCUUACACCAGUGCUGAUGAAAAAAAAAAACAGCAUCUGCAGCAGUCUUGGCUUUUGCACAAUGUCACUGCAAAGCUGCUUGUGCAACUAAGCAAUGCAGAUGUAGAAAAGAGGGAAUGGUGUGCGCUGAUGCUUGCUCUUGUGAUAAUGAAGAAUGCACCAACAGACUUGUUGAAGCCUUGUCUGACUCUGAGAGCAAUGAUGAAUCUUAACUGUCACUUAUUUCUCAUAGUCUUGUGCUUGAAGGCUAAUUAAUGCUUUGAGACACAUGCUGUAUUUUAUUCACAUGACAAGACUGCUAAGAAAUAAAUAAGAAAUAAAUAAUAUUAAAAUCCUCUAAUCAUCAUGUUGAUGAUGCUGAUUUUAGACAAAUGCUGAGAAGAAUCAGGUUUCAGUCAAUCCAGACAUCCUCUUGAAGUUUAAUUGCUGCAAGUAAAUUGAUUUAUUGUCAUCCUGUAGUACAGAAGAUUAGAUUAUCUUGAAAUAUCCCUUCUUCAUAGACAUACUUUUUAUGUCAGAGUCCCUCAGCAAACCCCUCUGUAGAAAAAAAACUGCACCACUUCAGUAGUCCACAUCCACCCUAGGGGUUGCCCACAAAGGUCAUAGAAAAGCAUGGCAGCAUCAGAAAUGUUCUAGCUUCAUGGGUGAACCUUUUUGGUCCUAGCUGCUAGACUAAUUAUAGGGCCAGAUGGCAAUCCUAAAUGGUAUGCAGUAGGUUUGUAACGAUAACGAUAAUAAUAAAAUUCUUUAUCGAUUGGGACCCCACAAUAACAAAUCGAUAAUAUUUUAAUGAAAUCGAAUAUUCCAUGAAAUUAAAAGCGUCAAGAACGUAAUCUGUGUUGUUGCUUCUAAAAGUUACUGAGAAUAUGCGUCUGUGAACAAAUACAGGUUGACGAUGUAGCG